GAUGAAGUACGCAGCGAAAUGCGAUAAGUAAUGUGAAUUGCAGAAUUCAGUGAAUCAUCGAGUCUUUGAACGCACAUUGCGCCCCCUGGUAUUCCGGGGGGCAUGCCUGUCCGAGCGUCAUUGCUGCCCUCAAGCACGGCUUGUGUGUUGGGCCGUCGUCCCCCUCCUAGGGGACGGGCCCGAAAGGCAGCGGCGGCACCGCGUCCGGUCCUCGAGCGUAUGGGGCUUCGUCACCCGCUCCGUAGGCCCGGCCGGCGCUUGCCGACGACCAUCAAUCUCUUUCUCCAGGUUGACCUCGGAUCAGGUAGGGAUACCCGCUGAACUUAAGCAUAUCAAUAAGCGGAGGA
RNAcentral lists this unclassified non-coding RNA (347 nucleotides) under soil metagenome. RNAcentral's name for it is "partial contains 5.8S ribosomal RNA, internal transcribed spacer 2, and large subunit ribosomal RNA". The stretch from base 1 to 120 matches the Rfam family "5.8S ribosomal RNA", at positions 35 to 154 of the family's 154-position model. The record is from RNAcentral.